GCUCCUAUCGUUUAAUGAGGUUAAGACAGUGUUUUUUCGUGAUGCUAAUGUGAGUUCAAAUCUCACUGGGAGU
Molecule: transfer RNA, 73 nt
Filed under: Kappaphycus malesianus
Lineage: Eukaryota; Rhodophyta; Florideophyceae; Gigartinales; Solieriaceae
Description: tRNA-Glu
Rfam family: tRNA
About the family: Transfer RNA (tRNA) molecules are approximately 80 nucleotides in length. Their secondary structure includes four short double-helical elements and three loops (D, anti-codon, and T loops). Further hydrogen bonds mediate the characteristic L-shaped molecular structure. tRNAs have two regions of fundamental functional importance: the anti-codon, which is responsible for specific mRNA codon recognition, and the 3' end, to which the tRNAs corresponding amino acid is attached (by aminoacyl-tRNA synthetases). tRNAs cope with the degeneracy of the genetic code in two manners: having more than one tRNA (with a specific anti-codon) for a particular amino acid; and 'wobble' base-pairing, i.e. permitting non-standard base-pairing at the 3rd anti-codon position.
Source: RNAcentral